UCCCUGGUGGCUCAGACGGUAAAGCGUUUGCCUACAAUGCAGAAGACCUGGGUCCAAUCCCUGGGUCGGGAA
Molecule: transfer RNA, 72 nt
Filed under: Bos taurus (domestic cattle)
Lineage: Eukaryota; Metazoa; Chordata; Mammalia; Artiodactyla; Bovidae
Rfam family: tRNA
About the family: Transfer RNA (tRNA) molecules are approximately 80 nucleotides in length. Their secondary structure includes four short double-helical elements and three loops (D, anti-codon, and T loops). Further hydrogen bonds mediate the characteristic L-shaped molecular structure. tRNAs have two regions of fundamental functional importance: the anti-codon, which is responsible for specific mRNA codon recognition, and the 3' end, to which the tRNAs corresponding amino acid is attached (by aminoacyl-tRNA synthetases). tRNAs cope with the degeneracy of the genetic code in two manners: having more than one tRNA (with a specific anti-codon) for a particular amino acid; and 'wobble' base-pairing, i.e. permitting non-standard base-pairing at the 3rd anti-codon position.
Source: Rfam by way of RNAcentral